Long non-coding RNA from Pundamilia nyererei, 446 nucleotides. RefSeq lists it as uncharacterized. The record is from RefSeq and is a predicted model, not a curated record. NCBI's taxonomy places the organism in Eukaryota, Metazoa, Chordata, Actinopteri, Cichliformes, Cichlidae. The transcript is spliced from 2 exons.
CAGGAGAGCAGCUCCUGUCUGAUGACAUGAGUCUACCUGCUGACAGAGUUUCCUGAAUGUCUUUAUUAUAGGACCAUGGCAGAAGUUAAUGAAAUAACUGUUAAGAGCGUCACUUCAUGUUGUGCAGAAACAACAGAGCUGCUCCCUUCAAGACAAACAACAUCACCGUUUGCGUUUAAAGUUGUUUUUCUCUGUUCUGGGUUUGUCUUCAUUCGGGGGUUUGACCCCUCGGUGCUGCUUUUUGCUCGUCAGUGUGGCUGUUAUAUAGCAGCACUGGGUUUACGUAAGUCAGUUAGUCUCAUUAUUUAAUAGCCACGUACUAAUGGCGACACUGCUGUUUGUUUAAUGACUGAAUUUCUAACAGUGUUAGGUGCAUAGAAGCAGGACUGCAGUGCUUUUUAGUCACUUUAUUUAAUUCCUUGUGUAUAAAUGCCUUUCUAAGUCUG